Molecule: ribosomal RNA, 486 nt
Filed under: uncultured bacterium
Lineage: Bacteria
Description: bacterial SSU rRNA
Rfam family: Bacterial small subunit ribosomal RNA
Source: RNAcentral
GAUGAACGCUAGCUACAGGCUUAACACAUGCAAGUCGAGGGGCAGCACAGUGUAGCAAUACAUGGGUGGCGACCGGCGCACGGGUGCGUAACGCGUAUCCAACCUUCCCGUUACUCUUGGAUAGCCUUCCGAAAGGGAGAUUAAUACAGGAUGGUGUUUGAAUUCCGCAUGUUAUUCAAACUAAAGAUUUAUCGGUAACGGAUGGGGAUGCGUGACAUUAGAUAGUAGGCGGGGUAACGGCCCACCUAGUCUACGAUGUCUAGGGGUUCUGAGAGGAAGGUCCCCCCACACUGGAACUGAGACACGGUCCAGACUCCUACGGGAGGCAGCAGUGAGGAAUAUUGGUCAAUGGUCGGAAGACUGAACCAGCCAAGUAGCGUGAAGGAUGAAGGUUCUAUGGAUUGUAAACUUCUUUUAUACGGGAAUAAAACCUCCCACGUGUGGGAGCUUGUAUGUACCGUAUGAAUAAGCAUCGGCUAACUCCGU